RNAcentral lists this ribosomal RNA (497 nucleotides) under uncultured bacterium. RNAcentral's name for it is "partial 16S ribosomal RNA". It matches the Rfam family "Bacterial small subunit ribosomal RNA", at positions 28 to 507 of the family's 1533-position model. The record is from RNAcentral.
GAUGAACGCUGGCGGCGUGCCUAAUACAUGCAAGUCGAGCGAACAGACGAGGAGCUUGCUCCUCUGACGUUAGCGGCGGACGGGUGAGUAACACGUGGAUAACCUACCUAUAAGACUGGGAUAACUUCGGGAAACCGGAGCUAAUACCGGAUAAUAUAUUGAACCGCAUGGUUCAAUAGUGAAAGACGGUUUUGCUGUCACUUAUAGAUGGAUCCGCGCCGCAUUAGCUAGUUGGUAAGGUAACGGCUUACCAAGGCGACGAUGCGUAGCCGACCUGAGAGCGUGAUCGGCCACACUGGAACUGAUACACGGUCCAUACUCCUACGGAAGACACCAGUAGGGAAUCUUCCGCAAAGGGCGAAAGCCUGACGGAGCAACGCCGCGUGAGUGAUGAAGGUCUUCGGUUCGUAAAACUCUGUUAUUAGCGAAGAACAAAUGUGUAAGUAACUAUGCACGUCUUGACGGUACCUAAUCAGAAAGCCACGGCUAGCUACGUG